GACCCCGUGAACCUUUACUAUAGCUUGACACUGAACAUUGAGCCUUGAUGUGUAGGAUAGGUGGGAGGCUUUGAAGUGUGGACGCCAGUCUGCAUGGAGCCGACCUUGAAAUACCACCCUUUAAUGUUUGAUGUUCUAACGUGGACCCGUAAUCCGGGUUGCGGACAGUGUCUGGUGGGUAGUUUGACUGGGGCGGUCUCCUCCUAAAGAGUAACGGAGGAGCACGAAGGUUGGCUAAUCCUGGUCGGACAUCAGGAGGUUAGUGCAAUGGCAUAAGCCAGCUUGACUGCGAGCGUGACGGCGCGAGCAGGUGCGAAAGCAGGUCAUAGUGAUCCGGUGGUUCUGAAUGGAAGGGCCAUCGCUCAACGGAUAAAAGGUACUCCGGGGAUAACAGGCUGAUACCGCCCAAGAGUUCAUAUCGACGGCGGUGUUUGGCACCUCGAUGUCGGCUCAUCACAUCCUGGGGCUGAAGUAGGUCCCAAGGGUAUGGCUGUUCGCCA
This 500-nucleotide ribosomal RNA is filed under the name Escherichia coli. RNAcentral describes it as "bacterial LSU rRNA". It matches the Rfam family "Bacterial large subunit ribosomal RNA", at positions 2087 to 2586 of the family's 2925-position model. Lineage: Bacteria; Pseudomonadati; Pseudomonadota; Gammaproteobacteria; Enterobacterales; Enterobacteriaceae. The record is from RNAcentral.